UUAAGCUACAAAGAGCGUAGGGUGAAUAGCUAGGCACCAAGAGCCGAAGAAGGACGUGAUAAGCUGCGAAAAGCUUUGGGUAGGAGCAAAUAUCCAUUAAUCCAGAGAUAUCCGAAUGAGGGAACUCACUUAGAGCAAACAAUCUAAGUAUCCAUAUAUGAGUAAAGUAGUAUAUGAGAAGGGAACGUGGGGAACUGAAACAUCUUAGUACCCACAGGAAAAGAAAGAGAAAUCGAUUCCUAGAGUAGUGGCGAGCGAAAUAGGAAGAGCCUAAACCAUGAGUAGUAAUACACAUGGGGUUCGGACCACGAUAUAUUAUCAAUAAUUCUAAUAGAAAUGUUUUGGAAAAGCAUACCAUAGACGGUGAAAGUCCAGUAUAUGAAAGAAAAGUUGAGAUUAGUGGUAUCCAGAGUAGUACGAGACACGAGAAAUCUCGUAUGAAUAAGCGGGGACCAUCCCGUAAGGCUAAAUACUACUUGGUGACCGAUAGUGAACUAGUACCGUGAGGGAAAGGUGAAAAGAACCCCGGGAGGGGAGUGAAAUAGAACAUGAAACCCUAUGUUUACAAGCAGACAAAGCACUUUAUAUGUGCGAUGUCGUACUUUUUGUAGAACGGUCCAGCGAGUUAUUGUGUAUGGCGAGGUUAAGUAUUACGUAAGGUACGGAGCCGAAGCGAAAGCGAGUCUGAAAAGGGCGAUAUAAGUCAUGCAUAAUAGACCCGAAACUGAGUGACCUAUCCAUGAGCAGGAUGAAGCUAGAGUAAAAUCUAGUGGAGGUCCGAACUGAUUGUCGUUAAAAAGGCACCGGAUGACUUGUGGAUAGCGGAGAAAUUCCAAUCGAACUCAGAGAUAGCUGGUUCUCCUCGAAAUAGCUUUAGGGCUAGCCUUGAGGGAAUGCAUAUGGGGGUAGAGCACUGAAUGAGGUAGGGGCCUAACCAGGUUACCAAACUCUAUCAAACUCCGAAUACCAUAUGUAAAUACUCAGGAGUCAGACUGCGGGAGCUAAGUUCCGUGGUCAAAAGGAAAACAGUCCAGAUCGUCAAUUAAGGUCCCAAAGAUAUAGCUAAGUGGAAAACGAUGUGAUUUUGCAUAAACAACCAGGAUGUUGGCUCAGAAGCAGCCAUUCAUUCAAAGAGUGCGUAAUAGCUCACUGGUCGAGUGAAGUUGCGCGGAAAAUUACCGGGGCUAAGCUAUACACCGAAAUUGCGGAUUUACAUUUGAAAGACAAUGUAAGUGGUAGAGGAGCAUUCUGUAGUAGGAAGAAGCAUGACCGUAAGGACAUGUGGACGAAGCAGAAGAGAGAAUGCUGGAAUAAGUAGCGAGAGGAUGGUGAGAAUCCAUCCCGUCGAAAAUCUAAGGUUUCCCAGGGAAGGUUCGUCCGCCUGGGGUAAGUCGGGACCUAAGGAGAGGCCGAAAGGCGUAUCUGAUGGAUAGCAGGUUGAAAUUCCUGCACUACGAAUAUACUUAAAAGAUUCAAGGGACGCAGAAGUGGAAGAUAACCAAGUAAGAGGAAAAGCUUGGCUCGCAAGAGGGAGUGAAAAUUAAAAGUAACGAAGUAUCAAGAAGCACGCUGACGAGAAAAGCUUGAAGAUAUUGUAUAUAAGUACCCGUACCGCAAACCGACACAGGUAGAUGAGGAGAGGAUCCUAAGACGAGCGGGAGAAGCAUUGUUAAGGAACUCGGCAAAUUAACCCCGUAACUUCGGAAUAAGGGGUACUGAUGUAACAGUCAGUCGCAGAGAAAAGGCCCAAGCAACUGUUUAACAAAAACAUAGGUUUCUGCUAAAUCGAAAGAUGAAGUAUAGGAGCUGACGCCUGCCCAGUGCUGGAAGGUUAAGGGAAGAGGUUAGAUUAUAUCAAAGCUUCGAACUGAAGCCCCAGUGAACGGCGGCCGUAACUAUAACGGUCCUAAGGUAGCGAAAUUCCUUGUCAGGUAAGUUCUGACCC
This 1945-nucleotide ribosomal RNA is filed under the name human gut metagenome. RNAcentral's name for it is "bacterial LSU rRNA". It matches the Rfam family "Bacterial large subunit ribosomal RNA", at positions 3 to 1989 of the family's 2925-position model. The record is from RNAcentral.